RNAcentral lists this long non-coding RNA (218 nucleotides) under Elaeis guineensis (African oil palm). RNAcentral describes it as "long non-coding RNA (EGUI_LNC077697)". The record is from RNAcentral. Lineage: Eukaryota; Viridiplantae; Streptophyta; Magnoliopsida; Arecales; Arecaceae.
CAUGCUCAAGGAUGAUUUUUAAUUUUCGAUACCAGCUAUCGAAAUUAGGUCCCAUGAGCUUGUCAUUAUCUAAUAAUGACCGGAGCGACAGGGUAGUGGCUAUAGCUCUGUAAAGAAAAAUCAGACCUCUAUUAGUACAUAAAUUAUAAAUACUAAAGACUUGGACUUUAGUCUAAAGUUUCUCUCAGUAUUUUUACGAACUGGUAGCCUCAACCUCC